This 1149-nucleotide long non-coding RNA is filed under the name Pavo cristatus (Indian peafowl). Its description in RNAcentral is "lncRNA (ENSPSTG00000016881.1)". The record is from RNAcentral. Lineage: Eukaryota; Metazoa; Chordata; Aves; Galliformes; Phasianidae.
AUGACAAACCUAUAUUACUCACACACGCAUAUAUUUCCUGCUCCUACAGUUGGCUCCAUCUUCCCCCACCGCUCCCAAUGCACUCACACUCGCAGCCCGGGAAAUCACGCCCCGAGACCGCCGAUAUUUUUGUCUUUAAUGCACCAGCUGACAACAUGCAAAACGCCGAAUACAAGAGGAGGAAUACAAAAGCGAAAUCACACGGCAAGAAGGAAGCACAUCUACGCUACGUGCACGCCUCCCAUGGCAACCUCAAUUAACACCACACGCGUCCAUCAGUGCUGUCACCCUUGCAAAAAUCAAAGGCACAAAGGGAACGUUUGGGAAAGGAAGGCGCGCGCUGCAGCCCAACUUCUCGCGGCCGUCCGGUGCCUCCUGGAGCCCUCCGUGAGCAGCAGAGCCGCGUGGCGGCGCCGUCCCGGCCCGGGGCUGCCGCUGCCGCUGCUGCUCCCGGGGGCGCUGCCGGCUCCGGGGCUCCGUGCUCUCGGCGGGGCUACAGCCCGCAGCGCAGGUUGCGUUCUGUUUGCUGGUUCUGAAGCGGAAAAUGCGCUCGGCGGCCACGUGGGAAAGACGAAGCCGGGCGCUACGAGCGCACCCCAGCUCUGGAGCCCGCGUCCCGAAAAGUCUGGGGGCGCUUCGUGGGCAUUGGCACGGGGACCGCGGGCCGCCACACACCGCCGCUCCCCCCGCCCGCCCGAAGCCCUCCGAAGGGACGCGCAGGCUCCUGAGCUCGGGGGCCGCGGCAGCGCGCGGGUGCCGCCCUCUCCCCCCCCUGCCGUGUCCCCGCCGCCCGUCCCCACGGGUCCCCUCAGCACCUCACCUGCGGCGCGGCCCGACCGCGGACUGCGCGGCCCCUGCGCGGCUGCGCUGCCGCCGCCUCCCGCCGCAGCCGCGCCCCCCGGGCCGGCGGGGAGGGCGCUGCCGGCAGCCCCCCGCCUCCCGCCCCCCGGCCGCGCAGCCCCUCCGCUCACGCAGCAUCCCCGCGGCGAAGCGGCCGCCCUCCCCCCGCGCGGCAUCCUGCCCCGCUCGCGGAGCACCGUCCCUCUCCGCCUUCCUUCCCCGCGCAAGGCGCGCGGCAGCAGCAGCAGAUGCACAACGGGAGAAGUCAAGAGGAUCUUCCCGAGGGCUGAGCCGCGGCUCGCAGCUUGA